CGUAAGGCGCCGAAUGAGUCAUUAAAAAAAUUAACAUCAUCCGAUCCCUAGUCGGCAUAGUUUAUGGUUAAGACUACGACGGUAUCUGAUCGUCUUCGAUCCCCUAACUUUCGUUCUUGAUUAAUGAAAACAUCCUUGGCAAAUGCUUUCGCAGUAGUUAGUCUUCAAUAAAUCCAAGAAUUUCACCUCUGACAAUUGAAUACUAAUGCCCCCAACUAUCCCUAUUAAUCAUUACGUCGAUCCUAAGAAACCAACUAAAAUAGGAUCAAACGUCCUAUUUCAUUAUUCCAUGCUAAUGUAUUCAAGCGUUAGCUUGCUUUAAACACUCUAAUUUUUUCAAAGUAACAGUCCUGAUUCCCUGCAACACCAAAUUAAUGACAUCACAGUUCGUCAAGAAGGAGGAAUCAGUAAGACCAGUACAUACCAGUGGCACGACCAAUCUACUGACCCCGAAAUUCAACUACGAGCUUUUAACUGCAACAACUUUAAUAUACGCUAUUGGAGCUGGAA
RNAcentral lists this ribosomal RNA (510 nucleotides) under uncultured Glomus. Its description in RNAcentral is "partial 18S ribosomal RNA". Lineage: Eukaryota; Fungi; Glomeromycota; Glomeromycetes; Glomerales; Glomeraceae. The record is from RNAcentral.